This is a long non-coding RNA of Grus americana (Whooping crane), 3144 nucleotides long. RefSeq lists it as uncharacterized. The record is from RefSeq and is a predicted model, not a curated record. The transcript is spliced from 4 exons. NCBI's taxonomy places the organism in Eukaryota, Metazoa, Chordata, Aves, Gruiformes, Gruidae.
CAGUUAAAAGCUAGGGCUAGGACUUGGAGGAUGUGUAGGCAAACGGAAGGACAGCCGGGGGAAGAAAAACCGAAAUGGAUUCAUUCUCUGUCCUGGAUGGAGGAGGAGAGGAGAAGAGAAGGGGACGUGCGAGCUUCCUUCAACUGCCUCUGUCCGGUGAAAAGUGCUCAGACCCCCGGGGCUGAGCGGGGCUCAGGAGUGCGCGCGGACUUUCGCUUUAAGCUGCCAAUCAAAGCGCUAACUAGCCACCACCCUGCUCUGGCAUCGACAUGAUCUGCGGGAUGUCCCCUUGUGAGAGGCAACUCAGCAGCUCCGUCGCCUCUGCCAUCUCAGCACUGCCAGUGGAGAAGCCCAGGAGGAGCGCAGAGCAGUGGCUGAGCGGCAAUUUGAAUAUUCAUAUUUAACUCUUCAAACAACAGAAGAUACUUCAAAACCAUAUGUGAGACAAAAUGACAUUAAACUUUCAAUCAUUAAACCUCUGUUUAGCUGUACUCCCGAAAUGAGCAGUUCAUAACAAACGGGGAAUUCUGAUUGACAGUUUGCCAUCAGGAGCCCUUAAGUAGGAUUUUUCCAGCUAUAACGCAGCGUACCCUUCAGUGCUCCCUUUCGCAAGAUGCUAUUUCAAGUAUAGGAGCGCGAGGAAAAUUUACAUAAAAGCUUUGUAUAUAAUACAUGAUUGCUCUGAAAUUAAGAAGCACCAGUUUUCCCCUUAUUGUUUUAGAAAUGAAGAGUGCACUUUGUUUUCUUGUUUACUUAGUGAGCUCUCUGAUCCCUUGAUGUGUUUCAAGCGUUUGCUGUCAGCAUCAUGAGACCUUGCUUACCUGGUAAAUUUUAUGUGUGAAAUGAUUAGUGUUCAAAAUGCCUGAAAAAAACAACAGUAACGAUGUCUGACAACUUUUCUUUCUUUUAUUUCCCCCCCCCCCCUUCUUAAAUAAUAUUUCAUGGUACAUUAAAUGAGUUACUCAGUCUCUUCUUAAGAGACCCAAGCAACGUAUUGCCGCAUACUUAAUGUUUCAUCAAGCAGCUAGUUUUUAAGAGGAAGAAAGCCAAAGGCAGCCUGGAAUCCUUCCCUGAGCCUUUUCUCAGUUUGUUCUGAAUUUGAUAAGGAAUGGUAAUAAUUUGGAGACAGAUAAAGAAAAAUAAAUAUUAUUUCCCAAUAAACCUCUUAGUGUGUCAUUUGCGAUCACAGGCAGAUAUGAGAAAUGAUACUCGUUAAAUCCACUGAACACUACUUUUUCAGAAGUUGAAAUGUUUUUAGCCAAACUGCUUUCUCGAUGAUCGCUUCGGAUGUAACAGUUAGAGCCAGAGUAGCCCAAGGAGAGAAGCAAUUAAAACAUUUACGUAUUUGAUUCUUGAUAGACAUCUCUACAAGGUAGGUUUUAACAUUUUUUUUCUUCUUAAUUUUUUCUUUUUUUUUUCUUUUUUUUUUUUUUUCAGUAAGAAGGAUAAGCUUGGAGUGCCCAGUCACCGUGGUAACUGCCAGAAAAAUUCUCCUGAAGUUUGAAGAGGUCAGCUAACGGGGUCAACAACUCUGGCCUCUCCCUGAGCUGGGCCUGGCAGGCUCCAUCCUGCGGCUGGGGUGUUAGCGCAGGCUGAGCCCUGGGAGGUGGACCAUUCCAGCUCUGAUAUAAAUUUUUUGAGUCAGUUCACGGCCUGGACUCUCCAGGUGGCCUCCAAAAUCGAUUGUGACCUUGUGACCCUGUCUAACGGAGGCAUAGCAUCCAGCCUAAGUAAGGAUUUAGCCAGGAACGACAGCUUUCCACUGAGUGUUAUUGGGGACAGUACAAACAGUUUUGGAAGCAAGGAGGUUCUCACAUACUGGCAAGACGCUACAGCCCCCAUGUGAUAAAGAUCAGAGGGAAAUACUUAUUUGAAGAAAUCUUUGUCAUUAGCUAUAUUGAGAUAACUCAAGAGGCAAAAAAACCCUGUAUAAAAUGAAACAGCAAACUGUGUAUCUGUGUGCACAUACAUGUGUAUUUGCAUGUAGUGCUGCUGACACGCUUGUUUUCAAGUGGAAUUUCAGUGAUGGAUGACUCAACACAAACUUUAAGUGUAUGGCAGGCUGUUUUUGUGUGGUGCCUGCUGCUUAUUUCAUGAGCUGCUCUUUCCCAUCCCAAGCAAGCCUAACGCGUUGCAGCGCUGGCAGCACCCCACCGGCCUUGUGACGGGGAUGCGAUAUUGAAAUUCCAGGAGCUCUUUUCCCACUGCCGACUCGGAGCAGAGGUGACUUUGGUGGCAAAGGGGCUGCGUGGGGGCCGGCCGGGCUCUCGGGGUGCUGCGCGGCAGUGGGAGGCAUCGGUGGCCCUGGAGUUCCUGCAGGCGUUGAACAUCCGAAGGGUGUCUGGCAGCGUUGCGUCCACGUGUGUCACGUGCAUCCGGGCGCGUGAGCGCGGUGGGUGUUUGCUCGUCCGGCUGCCGAACACGUGGUGACCGCGGCAGGGGAGGGCGGCUCUGGGGCUGCUCUGGGUGCAGGAGUUGCUGAGAUCACCCCAUCCCUAUGGCUCUGCACAGUCCCCUGGUCUGUCUGAAACUGUGCGCAAAGUUUCUUCGAAACAUGGGUUUAAUACGCUUGCAGACUUGACAGUCUCCUUUUGAGUGAAAACAUUGAUGUUAAGCAAAAGGCACGUUUGCCUCUCCAAAUAAAUGGAAUUAUGGUUCCAAGAUCUGACUUAAUCCUGAAGCUCUUACACUGUACAGUAAGUAGAAAAGAAAGGGGGCUGCUCAGAGGAGCAGGGUUAGCAGCAUCAGGCUCCAGUUUAUGCCAUCUCGCUCGUUUUCCUUCUGGUAUUUAAUACACCUUUUUCAGAACUCCCACUGGCUGUUUAUUACAAAGUCAAAGUCACUUCACAUCCAUUACCUCAUGGCAAACAAACAAAUAAUUCAAAAUUGUGAGGGAUGCUACAGAGAGUGCCCAUCCAGCUUUCCUGCUAGGAAAAUUUGAGGAUUGUUAAACAAACGAAAACUGCAAUUCUUCCAGAUGUAUUUUCAUCAUAAAGUCAUGUCCUUUUUCAAUUCAUUUCAGGACUUUUCUCAAAUGCAUUGUAACUAUUUGUUCUUUUUCUACAUAAUUCUCUUUGUGAAACUGUAUUUAAAAUCUGGUUUGACAUUUCAAGGGGUUUGAGGGAAGAAGUUUACAAAAUAAUG